AUUGAACGCUGGCGGCAGGCUUAACACAUGCAAGUCGAGCGGGGGGAGGUAGCUUGCUACCGGACCUAGCGGCGGACGGGUGAGUAAUGCUUAGGAAUCUGCCUAUUAGUGGGGGACAACAUCUCGAAAGGGAUGCUAAUACCGCAUACGUCCUACGGGAGAAAGCAGGGGAUCUUCGGACCUUGCGCUAAUAGAUGAGCCUAAGUCGGAUUAGCUAGUUGGUGGGGUAAAGGCCUACCAAGGCGACGAUCUGUAGCGGGUCUGAGAGGAUGAUCCGCCACACUGGGACUGAGACACGGCCCAGACUCCUACGGGAGGCAGCAGUGGGGAAUAUUGGACAAUGGGGGGAACCCUGAUCCAGCCAUGCCGCGUGUGUGAAGAAGGCCUUAUGGUUGUAUAGCACUUUAAGCGAGGAGGAGGCUACUUUAGUUAAUACCUAGAGAUAGUGGACGUUACUCGCAGAAUAAGCACCGGCUAACUACGUGCCAGCCGCCGCAGUAA
Molecule: ribosomal RNA, 501 nt
Filed under: uncultured bacterium
Lineage: Bacteria
Description: partial 16S ribosomal RNA
Rfam family: Bacterial small subunit ribosomal RNA
Source: RNAcentral